Non-coding RNA from Tephrocybe rancida, 90 nucleotides. The record is from the annotation of a GenBank genome assembly. Lineage: Eukaryota; Fungi; Basidiomycota; Agaricomycetes; Agaricales; Lyophyllaceae.
GGCGCUAUAGUGUAGUGGUUAUCACUCGGGAUUUUGAUCAGUCUUAUCACCCGACCUCCCGUAACCCAGGUUCGAACCCUGGUAGUGCCU